This 467-nucleotide ribosomal RNA is filed under the name uncultured bacterium. Its description in RNAcentral is "partial 16S ribosomal RNA". It matches the Rfam family "Bacterial small subunit ribosomal RNA", at positions 28 to 507 of the family's 1533-position model. The record is from RNAcentral.
GACGAACGCUGGCGGUGUGCUUAACACAUGCAAGUCGAACGGUAAGGCCCUUUCGGGGGUACACGAGUGGCGAACGGGUGAGUAACACGUGAGUAACCUGCCCUCAUCUCUGGGAUAACAGUCGGAAACGGUUGCUAAUACUGGAUAUGAGCUUGCAAGGCAUCUUGUGGGUUGGAAAGAUUUUUUUGGUUGGGGAUGGACUCGCGGCCUAUCAGCUUGUUGGUGAGGUAGUGGCUCACCAAGGCUUCGACGGGUAGCCGGCCUGAGAGGGCGAGCGGCCACAUUGGGACUGAGAUACGGCCCAAACUCCUACGGGAGGCAGCAGUGGGGAAUAUUGCACAAUGGACGGAAGUCUGAUGCAGCAACGCCGCGUGCGGGAUGACGGCCUUCGGGUUGUAAACCGCUUUCAAUUGUGACGAAGCUUUUUUGUGACGGUAGCAGUAGAAGAAGCACCGGCUAACUACGUG